RNAcentral lists this transfer RNA (65 nucleotides) under Sicyonia lancifer. Its description in RNAcentral is "tRNA-Phe". The record is from RNAcentral. Lineage: Eukaryota; Metazoa; Arthropoda; Malacostraca; Decapoda; Sicyoniidae.
ACUUAUAUAGCUUAUAAAGAGCGUUGUGUUGAAGCUACAAAGGAAGCAGUAAUUGCUUGUAAGUA